ACGUAAUAGAUACCCCGGUAUCCACGCCCUAAACGAUGUCUACUAGUUGUUGGUGGAGUAAAAUACCAUGAGUAAACGCAGCUAAACGCGUGAAGUAGACCGCCUGGGGAGGUACGGUCGCAAGAUUAAAACUACAAAGGAAUUGACGGGGGCCCGGCACAAGCGGUGGAUUAUGUGGAUUAAUUCGAUGCAACGCGAAAAACCUUAACCUGGCCUUGACAUGCCACUAAACGAAGCAGAGAUGCAUUAGGUGCCCGUAAGGGAAAGUGGACACAGGUGCUGCAUGGCUGUCGUCAGCUCGUGUCGUGAGAUGUUGGGUUAAGUCCCGCAACGAGCGCAACCCUUGCCAUUAAUUGCCAUCAUUUAGUUGGGCACUUUAAUGGGACUGCCGGUGACAAACCGGAGGAAGGUGGGGAUGACGUC
RNAcentral lists this ribosomal RNA (423 nucleotides) under uncultured bacterium. RNAcentral's name for it is "bacterial SSU rRNA". It matches the Rfam family "Bacterial small subunit ribosomal RNA", at positions 772 to 1186 of the family's 1533-position model. The record is from RNAcentral.